Molecule: small RNA, 127 nt
Filed under: Staphylococcus saprophyticus subsp. saprophyticus ATCC 15305 = NCTC 7292
Lineage: Bacteria; Bacillati; Bacillota; Bacilli; Caryophanales; Staphylococcaceae
Description: Staphylococcus saprophyticus subsp. saprophyticus ATCC 15305 Staphylococcus sRNA sau-59
Rfam family: Staphylococcus sRNA sau-59
Source: Rfam by way of RNAcentral
UCAUCCUCUUGAAUAUCGAUAAUUUCUUUCCAUUUAGCAAUAAAUUUAUCUUUUUUAUCUCUAGCUUUUUGAAUAUCAACACUUCUGCGCGUUUUACGUGUAAAUUCUGUUGUUUUAUCUUGUAGUG